RNAcentral lists this ribosomal RNA (495 nucleotides) under uncultured bacterium. RNAcentral describes it as "partial 16S ribosomal RNA". It matches the Rfam family "Bacterial small subunit ribosomal RNA", at positions 30 to 507 of the family's 1533-position model. The record is from RNAcentral.
UGAACGCUGGCGGCGUGCCUAAUACAUGCAAGUCGAGCGAACAGACGAGGAGCUUGCUCCUCUGACGUUAGCGGCGGACGGGUGAGUAACACGUGGAUAACCUACCUAUAAGACUGGGAUAACUUCGGGAAACCGGCGCUAAUACCGGAUAAUAUAUUGAACCGCAUGGUUCAAUAGUUAAAGACGGUUUUGCUGUCACUUCUAGAUGGAUCCGCGCCGCAUUAGCUAGUUGGUAAGGUAACGGCUUACCAAGGCAACGAUGCGUAGCCGACCUGAGAGGGUGAUCGGCCACACUGGAACUGAGACACGGUCCAGACUCCUACGGGAGGCAGCAGUAGGGAAUCUUCCGCAAUGGGCGAAAGCCUGACGGAGCAACGCCGCGUGAGUGAUGAAGGUCUUCGGAUCGUAAAACUCUGUUAUUAGGGAAGAACAAAUGUGUAAGUAACUAUGCACGUCUUGACGGUACCUAAUCAGAAAGCCACGGCUAACUACGUG